CACAAUAUUUUUAUUCAAAUGAUAGAAUUUCUUUCGAUCCAUAUUAUUUGCAAUAUGCAAUUUUUAAUCCGAGGAAAUCCUCGAUCGAAUAAUAGAUCAAGGCAAAACCUCGUUGGAGGGAAAAACCCUAACCAAAAAAGUUAGGGUGAAAAAACCCUCCAUGAGCCUGCUCAAGGGGAGGCUCAAUCGAUUUCUUUACCCACAACCCGGGUCUGGUAAAGGAAAAAAAAAGAAAGAAAAGCUCACAGCCCGAGCUAGGCCCUUACUUGAUGCUCCAUC
Molecule: long non-coding RNA, 279 nt
Filed under: Musa acuminata (dwarf banana)
Lineage: Eukaryota; Viridiplantae; Streptophyta; Magnoliopsida; Zingiberales; Musaceae
Description: long non-coding RNA (MACU_LNC010809)
Source: RNAcentral